This is a long non-coding RNA of Panicum hallii, 873 nucleotides long. RefSeq lists it as uncharacterized. The record is from RefSeq and is a predicted model, not a curated record. The transcript has 2 exons. Lineage: Eukaryota; Viridiplantae; Streptophyta; Magnoliopsida; Poales; Poaceae.
AUCAAAAUAUUGUUGAGGCCAUGUCUUUGGUUAUUGACGUGAAAACACGUUUGAACAAUUUGAGAAGCGAAGGUUAUGAGCCACUACUUGAAGAAGUCAAAACAUUUUGCCAAGAGAAUGAUAUCCCAAUACCAAAUAUGGAAGAUAGUGUACCAAGAUUUGGUAGAUCAAGGAAAGGAGGGAGAAACAACAUCACUCAAGAUCAUUACUUUCGUGUUGAUACCUUCUUUGCUACCAUAGAUGCUAUCACAACAGAGUUUGAUCAUCGAUUCAAUGAGGUAUCAUCGGAAUUACUUACUUGCUUUGGUUGCCUUGAUCCUAGAGAUUCGUUCUCUAACUUUGAUGUGAAUAAACUUGCUCGCCUCACGGAUAUAUAUUUGGAUGAUUUUUCUUUUGAUGACCGGAAAAGAAUAAGAGACCAGUUAGAAACCUUCAUUAUUCAUGUUAGAAGAGUUGAGGCAUUCAGAGCUUGUUAUGACCUUGCAAGCCUAGCAAUGAAAAUGGUUGAACUUAAGAGGCAUGAAAUAUUUCCCUUGGUUUAUCGCCUAAUUGAGCUGGCAUUGCUGCUACCAGUAGCAACUGCAUCAGUUGAAAGAGCAUUUUCAGCCAUGAAGAUUAUUAAAACUGAGUUGCGGAAUAAGAUGUCCGAUGGUUGGCUUAAUGACUUGAUGGUGGUGUAUAUUGAGCGGGAGAUAUUUAAAGGAAUUGAUCUUGAAUCUAUCAAGAAGGCUUUUCAGAAGAAAAAAGAUAGAAAUAUGCAAUUGCCAAAGUCUCCUAGACGCAACUAAUAAUAAAUAUACCGCUUCUUUGGUCCAAUUGUUGAUUUGAUGCGUACUUUACGUAUUUUUCUUCAUUUGAGGUACUUCUGAACCA